CUUGGGGAGGGUCUCCAGGUCCAGACCGGCCGUGUCGAGGGCGGCCCGCACGCGGGCGCGGGAGGCCGCGGCGCGUUCGGCGCGUGGGCGCAGGA
Molecule: transfer RNA, 95 nt
Filed under: Streptomyces lavendofoliae
Lineage: Bacteria; Bacillati; Actinomycetota; Actinomycetes; Kitasatosporales; Streptomycetaceae
Description: tRNA-Ser
Source: RNAcentral